Molecule: ribosomal RNA, 402 nt
Filed under: uncultured bacterium
Lineage: Bacteria
Description: bacterial SSU rRNA
Rfam family: Bacterial small subunit ribosomal RNA
Source: RNAcentral
UCGGGAAUUUUGGGCAAUGGGCGAAAGCCUGACCCAGCAACGCCGCGUGAGGGAUGAAGUAUUUCGGUAUGUAAACCUCGAAAGAAUGGGAAGAAUAAAUGACGGUACCAUUUAUAAGCUCCGGCUAACUACGUGCCAGCAGCCGCGGUAAUACGUAGGGAGCAAGCGUUGUUCGGAUUUACUGGGCGUGAAGCGCACGUAGGCGGAUCGAUCAGUUAGGGGUGAAAUCCCGGGGCUCAACCCCGGAACUGCCUCUAAUACUGUCGGUCUGGAGUUCGAGAGAGGUGAGUGGAAUUCCGAGUGUAGAGGUGAAAUGCGUAGAUAUUCGGAGGAACAACAGUGGCGAAGGCGGCUCACUGGCUCGAUACUGACGCUGAGGUGCGAAAGCGUGGGGAGCAAACA